This 151-nucleotide unclassified non-coding RNA is filed under the name soil metagenome. RNAcentral's name for it is "partial internal transcribed spacer 1". The record is from RNAcentral.
GCGAGUAUGGCCCUCACGGGUCUAAUCCACCACAAACACCUUUGUGAACCAGUCAGGGGGACUCGGCCGUGAAAGCCCAGGCGGUUAGCGGAAGGGCCCUCCUUUGCAAACCCGUUUAGAAGUCUUGAAAGUACUUUUGUAUAAUCUAGUA